Molecule: ribosomal RNA, 253 nt
Filed under: uncultured bacterium
Lineage: Bacteria
Description: partial 16S ribosomal RNA
Rfam family: Bacterial small subunit ribosomal RNA
Source: RNAcentral
UACGAGGGGGGCAAGCGUUGUUCGGAAUUAUUGGGCGUAAAGGGUGCGUAGGCGGUCUGUCGCGUCGGCUGUGAAAACCCGAGGCUCAACCUCGGGCCUGCAGUCGAUACGGGCAGACUAGAGUGCUGUAGGGGAGACUGGAAUUCCUGGUGUAGCGGUGAAAUGCGCAGAUAUCAGGAGGAACACCGGUGGCGAAGGCGGGUCUCUGGGCCGAUACUGACGCUGAGGAGCGAAAGCGUGGGGAGCGAACAGG